UACGUAGGGUGCGAGCGUUGUCCGGAAUUAUUGGGCGUAAAGAGCUCGUAGGCGGUGUGUCACGUCGGCCGUGAAAACCUGCAGCUUAACUGUGGGCGUGCGGUCGAUACGGGCAUCACUGGAGUUCGGCAGGGGAGACUGGAAUUCCUGGUGUAGCGGUGAAAUGCGCAGAUACCAGGGGGAACACCGGUGGCGAAGGCGGUUCUCUGGGCAUUACCUGACGCUGAGGAGCGAAAGUGUGGGGAGCGAACAGG
This 254-nucleotide ribosomal RNA is filed under the name uncultured bacterium. RNAcentral's name for it is "partial 16S ribosomal RNA". It matches the Rfam family "Bacterial small subunit ribosomal RNA", at positions 524 to 776 of the family's 1533-position model. The record is from RNAcentral.